Molecule: ribosomal RNA, 253 nt
Filed under: uncultured bacterium
Lineage: Bacteria
Description: partial 16S ribosomal RNA
Rfam family: Bacterial small subunit ribosomal RNA
Source: RNAcentral
UACGUAGGGAGCAAGCGUUGUCCGGAAUCAUUGGGCGUAAAGCGCGCGUAGGCGGCUCGAUCAGUCUGUUGUGAAAAUCCAAGGCUCAACCUUUGAAUGCCGAUGGAUACUGUCGAGCUAGAGUCCGGAAGAGGCGGGUGGAAUUCCUGGUGUAGCGGUGGAAUGCGCAGAUAUCAGGAAGAACACCCGUGGCGAAGGCGGCUCCCUGGGACGGUACUGACGCUGAGACGCGAAAGCGUGGGGAGCGAACAGG